CAGGAAACAGGAAACGUUCACGUUUCGGCGGGGCUGAAAGUGCGCGCAGCAUCAUGAUGCCGGGGCGCGCGGAUCCCGAGGCGCCCCGCGCCGCCCUCAUCUUCGCCCUGCUCAUCGCGUUCCUCCCCACCCGCCAGGCGCAGGAAAUGGAGGAAACAGAACUGUCAGCAGAAAUGUCCGGAGACAUGCAAAACCUGGAGGAAGAGGCUACGGCUCCAAGCACAUCUGCUGCGGUGACCACAGAAAUAUUCACUGCCAGUAUGACUUCUACCGUUAUUGAUGACGAUGCAGGCCAAUUAGAGUUUAUAUUAAUGGUGUUGAUCCCGUUGAUUGUAUUGGCCGUCCUACUUUUAUCCGUGAUACUCUUUGUAAUAUACCAUAAAAGAAAAAGGAAUAAACAAGAGCCCUCUAGCCAAGGAUCGCAAAGUGCUUUACAGACACAUCACCUGGGAAGUGAAAACAUGAAAGUCCCUAUUUUUGAGGAAGACACACCCUCUGUGAUGGAAAUAGAAAUGGAAGAGCUUGAUAAGUGGAUGAACAGCAUGAAUAGAAAUGCCAACUAUGAGUGUUUACCUACUUUAGAGGAAGAAAAGGAACCAAACCACAGCAACCCAAGGGCACCAGCUCAGUAGUUGUGGCGUGCGGGCUUAGCUGCCCCGCGGCAUGUGGGGAUCUUAGUUCCCUGACCAGGGAUGGAACCCACGUCCCCUGCAUUGGAAGGCGGAUUCUUUACCACUGGACCACCAGGGAAGUCCCUGUGCCUAUAAAUUUUAUGUGACAAUUUUCAUGGGUGUAUGGAGAAACGGAAGUGUGAGUUAUGGAAAAUAGAAAGUGACAAUGAAUCCUGAAACUGAAUCGUGCUAAUGUUUUCCAAGAGAAAGCAGCCCCGGAGGAAGCCUGCUGGGCCUGCCAGCAGAGGAUGAAGAGGAUCCGAAUUUAAUUAAUUUCAAAUCAACGUAAACACAAGAACCUUUUGCUGUUGCUUCCAGCGCCCACUCUUCCAACGCCCAGUGCAUCACCUGUACUUGGAAGAAUGCUCGAUUGAGAAGUGCUAGGCAAAGGCGUGGCUGCUGAGGGUGGAGGAACCAUAACAUGCAGUCAGCGCUUAUCAGUGGGUGUUCCCUCCACUCAGCCAACCUCUAGAUGACUGUACCAUUACCCUGGUCACGCUCUCAAGUCCUUGUUACCUUUCUGCUUCAUUCCUCAGGGUACAAAUCAGGAAGCUGUCUAUGGUUUCCUUCUGGGUCACCUUGCGACCUAGAUAGCUUUGGAUAAUUUCCUCUCAUGAGUUAAGUUCUCUGAUAGGUCAAUUACAUUCAGUGGGAACUUUGCUCAAGGUGAGUUAUGUCAUGGAAAAGACAGCAAACAAAGCAAGUGUUUCAAUGUGGACACCAUCCCAGGGGGUGGGUAAGCUCAUUUCCACCUGCCAUGAGACACAGUGUGAGAGCCCACAGUCCUGAAGGGAUGCUGUUUGGUGACGUGUUGACCCUGAGUUGGCCAGGUGAUGGAGGAGUGGAAUUCUCAGUGAAAGAGCAACUGUUUUCCUUCUCGGAGAAAAUCAACUGCUUGUUCACAUUUCCCCACGGCUCAUCCCUGUCCUCACCACAACUCCCUUGCGUGUGAUGUAUGGAUAGAUGUGUGCAGCUGGGCCUCCUCUGCCACCUUCUGUGUCUCUGAGAUCUUUAAGGUUGUUUGGAACAAGCAGAACAGCAAUAGGCUCUGUCUGUGCCCGAGGCAGGUACCCUUCCUCACACUCGGGAUCUUUCCUGCCAGCCGGACCAGGGCUCGUGUCCUCAACGCAGCUCCCAGGGGGCCACCACCGGUCAUCAGAGAUGACAUUCUACGUGAUAUUUGUUGACAUCCUCCUGCUAGGAGCAAUGGUGCAAAAUGCAGAAGGGCCUAGUUAUUGCUCCCACUCACGUAAAAUCAAUCUCCAUUUAAUCCUUAAUUUUCCAAUUCUGACCUUUAAAGCAAUCUAGCAAAUUAGGAGCCCUCAGCUCUUCCACGGCACCUGAUGUUUUAUUCCAGGAAAGAAACAAAGAAUGAAAACUGUAUCUUACUCCCCGCAUAUAAACUGAGGGGGGCUUGAGGUUCACCAAAUAUUUGCUGCUGUUAUUUGGGUUCUUGUGUUUGAAAGGCUGCCUUAGUGCAUAACGAAAACAGUCCUUUUUUUUCAGAAUCCCUUUAACCAGCACUUGCCUUCUGAACUAUGCCCACAAUUUUAAAGGCAGAGUUCCAAGCCAGGGAGGUCUUUCCACCGCAGUGAAAGAUAGAACUAUCUGGCUGUGUUUAACCACUGCUCUUAGGCCAUCCCGGGAUUGCAAAGAGCUUUGGCAAAAGACAGUCUUCAUGGUACAGAACCACAACAGAUCUGUCUGUUGUAUUCUCUUUAGCACAUCCUAAUAUGGCAUUUUUGUUUUCAUUGCUAUUUUGCAUAUUCAUAUUCAACUUGUGGUCCAUAGUGACUCUCAAGAUAUUUAUGCCAAAAUUGCUACUUUCCAAAUCAUCAUUUCUGGCUGUUUUGUUACUUUGUUUCUCAUCCACAUUUUGACUCUAAAGAGUCUCUUCUUUCUCUAGGUAGCUAAGAUUUUUGCUUAACUUUUAGGCCUGUAAGCGUCAUCCAAUCCUAUCAAAUAGUGGACUUUAGCAGUUCAGAGAAGGAUAGGAGGUCUUGGAGUCUCACUUUGAUGAAGUUAUAUUUUAUGAUAUGGUAAAUAUAUUCUCAUUCAGUAUUUGAAAUGACUUCAAAUUCCAGAAGAAGCAAGCUUCAGCAAUAUGUCAUUGUGUUUAUAUCUGAAAAAUGUACUAACCUCUAUAGUUGCAUAAUGUGCAAAGCACUUUAAAAAAAGAGUUUAUUCUGGCAAGAUAUAUGACAUUAGUAUGAGUCAAAACAGCCAAAGUUCAAUUCUAGUGCUCUGUAUCUUUUUAUUACUGUCCAGUCAAGAGGCAUCAUAGAUUAUGAUCAUUCCAAGAACUGUUUUUAAACCCAAACUUAAUUUUUAUGUUUCAGAUUAUUGUUAGUAAAAAUCUUAAUAAUUUGCCCUAAUUGGGUAGCCAAUCAGAGCAAAAUCUGACUUUAGAAUAUUUUCAAGUUGUGUAAAUUUUAUUGCAUUUUUGUACGUAUUAAGUAAGCUAAGUUAGCAACAUUGCCUUGUUGAACUCCUCAGGAAACUUGUUGUAAUAAAGAUGUGAAAACCUCAGUCUUAACUCAGUGAUGUGACUCCUCUCUCUGGGAAGGUCAUUGUCAUCCAAACAGCGAGCACAUAGCAUGGAUCGAUCUUGACAUCCAUGGGGUGACAGAUGCUUCUGAUCACCCUUGUAGCUCUAGCAACGUAAACAGGCGCUUUAAAAAAUACUUUUGUCUGUUCAUUUGCUUUGGUUGCUUAAACUAUCAGUUUUCACCAUCUCUGUAAGAAGGCCCUUAUGUUGAGUAAACAUAAAGUGUACACAUUAGUUUCAACUUCUGUCAGAAUUAGUACAAAUUCUGAAUAUAGUAGAGCAAUAAGACAUGGCUCACACUGGGAAGACAUGGCUGAAAUUCUCACUGUGAGGAAGACAUUGACAUUUUCUACUGAAUUAAAUUUACACAUGCUGCUUUUUCACACGCAGGAUGAAUUCUGGCCUGUCUAUUUAAUAUCUACAAUAGGUGGUCCAGAGUAGCUUCAUUCAUAGAUUACAUUUCUUUGCUUUUACAAUAACCAGAAGAUCACCGUAUAUUAGUGUGGUGUGGAAGUAGUCAAAUUGGUUAUUAAUAAUUGCAUAACCCAAAUACCCAAUUGCCUGAAUUAUUUAUUUUUUCGCACAUCUCUUUCACAUUGCCUUGAUACUGUCUUGUCUGGUAACCAAAUUUUAUUUUCCUCUUAGUCCUUUUGUAGAUAUCUGGUGGGGUUUGUAUUGAUUUUUGCCCUAUUAUCUUUUCUAAAUAAUACGCCAUGUUCAUGAGACAGCAAUCCAUACAAUAUAUAAAAUAAAACUUUUAAAGUCACCUCUAUGGAUACUCUAAGCCAUUUCUGAAAUGAUAUUUUAAGAAGUUAACUUCUUAAACCAAAGUACUUACAGUAACAUAAGGACUUUAAUCUCAUUGCUGUACAAGAUUAGAAAUAUAUGUUGAACUGCUUAAGACAACCAAAGGUGGAUGGGGUCCCGUGCCAAUUGGUCUCCAGGUGCAGAAGGCUCUGUUAAUCCUCCUCCUUCGUUGCCAUCAUAUUAUUAUCACUGGCCUUUGGUAGGUUAUAAAUAAAUAAUUAGACUUUUACAAAAAGCCUAUUCUUCACAUUUUUCACUUCUUUUGUCUGCAUGGAAAGGAAUAAGUUAAUGAUCUCUAGAUACUACAA
Balaenoptera musculus (blue whale) is the source of this 4334-nucleotide RNA transcript. It is a transcript of the gene named transmembrane protein 154, with no coding region annotated. The transcript has 8 exons. The record is from RefSeq and is a predicted model, not a curated record. NCBI's taxonomy places the organism in Eukaryota, Metazoa, Chordata, Mammalia, Artiodactyla, Balaenopteridae.